AUAUGGAGAGCAAGCUGAUGUUUUUGGUGGUUUGUGUGAUUGGUUGUGCAGUGUCUUGCAUAAAGGCUGACGGGCACCUAUCAACGCCAACAAAUUUAACUUCCAACAUCACCCGCAAUGAGUGUGGAAAAACCAAACUGUGUUUGGACAACCCUAAAGGAUGUGAUCCUUCAGGCAGCUCUCAGUGUUUCUUCACCUCAGUACAGAUUAUCUUAACUACCUUCAACCUGACGGUUGAGCUCAGUGGCAACUCCAUCGGUUACAUUGCUUUAGCAGCUGGAGUGACAUCUAGUGUGGCUCAGGGCCUCAAUAUCAUCUUUGUCUGUGGCAAUAAUAAUGGCAGGUUCUUCUUCCGGACUGCAACACUCUUUAAUAAUACACUGCUGACAACAAAUGUACCCAAUGUAAACAAUAUCCAGGGUUCAAUACAACCAAGCUUGAUUCAGUGUGUUUUCAGCAUCCCCAUUGAUACAAACACCCUUAACUUCCUAAGCAAUGUCAAUGCCACAAAUGUCAACAUUAGCAACAUUGCUAAUUCCCAGCUGAAUGUUUUCCUUGACAUCUUGCAGGGUUCAACCAAUGGAACUGUUCUGGGAGAACCAAAAAGUGUAUUUGGGUCCUCUGUUCCAGUGGAUCUAGCUAAUGUCAACUCCACUAAUGUUGUUGACCCCAUAGCUAAUUCAAAAGACAGCAUCUCACUCAACAGCCUACUGAGUCAUGCUGCAAUUUGCCUUCUCAGUAUCUUCUUGCAUCUGAUCUCAGGGUCCUGAGAGAGAGAUCUGAAGACUAACCAUGCUGUGGAUGGAGUAGUAUAGAUUUGCACUAGAAUCAGCAUGUUUUCCUAAAGUAUUCAUACCUCCACUGGUGUCUUUCUUUAUUUGAUUCUUAGAUUAUUCACAAACAUAUAGGAAACCCAUGUAUGUUUGACAUACACAGGGUGUUGGACACAUAUAUAAAGCUUAUAUAUAAACAUACACAUAUAUAAAGCCCAAUCACAUACACACACACACACACACGCACGCACGCACGCACGCACGCACGCACACACACACACACACACACACACACACACACACAUUAUCUUUUACAUUAUACUGACAGUGGAAAUGAUCCUGAAAACUUUUUGAAGUUACAUUAAAAGCUUAUUAACAAAAAUAAUAACAUUAAAAUACAGUGUUUUUUUUUUUUUUUUCUUUCUGGGGUGAUAUUAUCUAUUACAUACACACUGAAUAAUAUCUUCACUGCUCAUUUUGCAUGAACACCAUUUUAAGAAUCUCUGUCUACCACAAAACAAUAUAUGUGGCAGAACUAAUUGAGAGUGGUGUUUUAGAUUCUAACGAUAUUAAUAAGUAGUAAUAAAUAAAUUAUAAAUAAUUAUUCUGGAAGAUCUCUUAGACUGAACAUUUAAAAACAAAAUGAUAAAUAAAAUAGAUUACAAUUAGAUUAUGAUAAAUUUGCAACUAUCCUUCCAAGUGUGAUAAACUGUUACACUGAUAAAGAUGCAGUGUCUCAUGAUUUCUCUGCUGUACAUAAAACCUUUCAGUUAUAGUAACCUCACCUCACUCUAUCUGAAACAAAUCUUCUUUUUACACCUCAUCCAGUGAAGAGAGGUUUUGUGAGAUAUCACUACUUAUAAGCCAGCUUAUAAGCCAGAAAGCCUACAAUUCCUUCUCUAAUUGACAUGAUGACACGAGAGAGAACAAGUGGCAAAUGGAAAAUAAAGACUGUGAUUUAUGGCCUGUGAAUUUUGUGUUAUUCAAGACCCAGUAACUAUGACUGAUCCUGCUCUCAGGGCACAGGGGAAAUUGGAGCAUUGCAGAAAAAAUUAUGUGUUUAUAGUUAGAGAUAUCAUUCUUGGUGUGAACAAGGCUUAAACCACUAGAUGGCACAAAAACUCACAGCAGUACUUUUCUAAACAUCUAUGUUUCAGUAUGCACCUGGAAAUUUGGCUGAUCCUUGAUGCUUUCGCAUCGCAGUAUGCAGUAUCUCAUGAGUUAUAUGCUGUAUUUAAAACCAGUAAAACAAUCAGUUACAGCACAACCACAUCUGAUUGUAUCUAAAAAUGUACAGUAGGAAUCUUUUUACAUUUCAUGUAGCAAAGAGAGAUAUUGAACUGCUUUCCAGUAUCACUACAAUUGAUCUAAAUGAGCCUAUUAGCCACAAAGCCUAAAACCUCCUCUCUAAUUGACAUAUAGAUGGGAAAGAGAGACAAAGAGUGAUGAAUGGAAAAGAAGAAUCAUUACUGAUGGCCUGUGAAUUUCGGGUUAUUCAAAGAGCCAGUAAUCAUGACUGAUCCCGCUCUCAAGGCACAGGGGAAAUUGGAGCAUUCCAGAAAAUUGAGACAUUUUUAGCAGUGGAAGAUGAACUCUGAGGGACUCUCAACUGCUUACUGGCCAAUUCAAAAAAUUAGUCUACAGUACGUAUUUUUCCUUUCAUAUUGUAAUGUGACAUUAUGACCCUCGGGUGGUUUAAUAACCAGUUCCUCUCUGAUUGCAAAUGGGCGUGGCAUUGAUCUCUGUCAAAGUUCCACCAGAACACACACACACACAAAAAAAAAAAGAGCAGCAGGGACAACUCUGGGGAAUCAUUGGUUGCUGUGGCAGCUCUUUUGACAUUAGUUAGGAUUAAAAGGACUAAACAUACAGUUUUAGACUGAACCAACAAGCAUAUCAAUGAAAAUGUCUAAUUAAAUAAGAAAAGAGUUUGUUUCAGUGUUUCAUCAUUCAUCCAUUUAGAACCAUUUGAAAGCAAUACAAAGUUUGCACUUUGCAUUGACCAUAAUACCCUGCUGCUCCCAUUCUUUAUAUGAUUUGUUGUUGUUGUUGUUGUUUGGUUUACCUGGCAACCAGCUUUUCUUUGUCAAAGACAAUGAUAGAGCCAUUUAUCUGCGAGCUCACUUAGCCAUCAUUUUGCCAUGACCGUUCUAGUAAGAUGCAAUUUCAUCACUUGUAAUUUACCAUGUGGACAAUUAGCUUGAGCGACUGUCAUUUGCAAUGGAGUAGGAAGUCAUAAUGGAGUGAAGGAGAUGCUUUUAUUGGGCUCAGAGGGCAUUCAGAGACAGAUGAGAGCAAGGAUAUGAACGCUGGCCUCUUUGAUAAAGUGUGCCAUUAAAUGUGUGGUUGUGUGGAGGCAAACAGCUUCAAGCUGCCCUGUACUACUGUGGUUACACUAUCAAUUGUUGCGUACAGGAAGGUUGUGUAUUUACCUAAAUCUCCAAAGGGUUUCUUCGGAACACAAAGAAACUGAUAACAAUGCUCAUAAUCUUUUUAUAACAUGAUAUGUAUUACAGUUUUUACAAGCAUUUUUGCACUGAUAACAGAAUCUUUUUGCAAUUUUCAAAACUUUAGACACAUAAUUCACAAACUCACGG
This is a long non-coding RNA of Cyprinus carpio carpio, 3370 nucleotides long. The record is from Ensembl. Lineage: Eukaryota; Metazoa; Chordata; Actinopteri; Cypriniformes; Cyprinidae.